Syngnathus acus (greater pipefish) is the source of this 3698-nucleotide RNA transcript. It is a transcript of the gene named ligand of numb-protein X 2b, with no coding region annotated. The transcript has 11 exons. NCBI's taxonomy places the organism in Eukaryota, Metazoa, Chordata, Actinopteri, Syngnathiformes, Syngnathidae. The record is from RefSeq and is a predicted model, not a curated record.
UUGUUUUUCCACCUGCCUUCACUUUCCUUUCUUCCUGCAGUGGACGUGGACCGAAAGUACGUUACGUGGGAAACUCCCUCCCCCACCCCCGAGCAGGUCCAACUACACCUGAGACGCCGUGUUGGGGCUUUCACCGACGGCGAGACGAACCAAAUAAUAACGAAAAACCCGCUGAACGUUGAUAUUCUAUCUCUGGACGUCGUUUGUCACCCCACGUUGACAGAUCAGAUUGACGUCUUUGUGUUGGCCGCCAUUUCCGGGUAGGAGAAGGGGGGGGGAAACUUUACAGAAGAUGGAGGCAACACGGUCAGACCUUUAUCGCACGCUGACCGCCUAAGUGGAUUUGCCUUUACUUGAACACACACACCGUUUUGGAGGACUCCGGAGGGACAAUGUCUACAACAGAAAACAAAACUGCAGGCUUGUCCUGGGCGAGGCUCUGCAAGGAGUGCGGGCAGCAGCACGAGGGCCAGGAAAGCCACCUGUACGAGUAUCUCGAUGAUGUGGACGACGAGCUCGUGUGCCACAUUUGUCUGCAGCCCCUCAUCAGGCCUAUGGACACCCCUUGUGGACACACCUACUGCUUUGAAUGUCUGGGCAGUUUCUUGAAAGAUAAGGACUUCUGCCCCGUGGACCGCCAGCGGCUGCAGCUGCACCAAUGUCGGCAGUCCACCCUGUUGGUCAGGAACCUGCUGGACAAGCUGGCUGUCAUGUGUCCUUACUAUGCAGAAUGCCAGCAGCAGAUGCAACGCUGUGAACUUCAACCUCAUCUGCACAAUAGAUGCCCCGCUUUCAGGAGACUCCGGGACGAAGCGGAGAAAAGAAAGAGGCCCUCAUGGAACGAACUGAAGGGACGCAAAGGCGACGGCGAGUUGUCUGCUGACGCUAAACAUUCAGAAACUCCACCGCGCAGCGCCACCAGAGAUCUGACCGACCCCGGACUCAUUAACCCCGCCUACGAAGAAAGUGAGGAUGACAACACGCCGUUGCGCUCCAGCCUGGUGUCCGAGUCCAAUGUGGUGGAGCUCUUCAGGGAGGAGGCAGAUGAAGAGCUGGGCCUGCGCAUCGUCGGCGGCAAAGACACGCCGCUGGGCAACAUCGUCAUCCAGGAGAUUGUACGUGACUCUCAAGCGGCUCGUGACGCCCGACUGGCGCCCGGAGACCACAUCUUGGAGGUGAAUGACAUCAGUCUGGCGUCCGUCCCUCACGCUCGGGCCGUCGCUGUGCUGCGCCAGCCUUCCCUCGUCAGGCUCACCGUCAUGCAGGAGAAAGGUUUCAAACCGAGGGAGACGCGCCCCGAUCAGCACCCAGCCGUGUCCGGCAGCGCCCACGGGAACGCCACCUCCGCUCAUAACCCUGGCACUGUACUGCAAGUGACGCUGACCAAGAGUCAGCGCUCCGAACCGCUUGGCAUAAAGCUAAUCCGCAAAUCGGACGAAAGCGGCGUCUUCAUCCUGGACCUGCUGUCGGGAGGGUUGGCAGCCAAGGACGGCAAACUGAAGAACAAUGACAAAGUUUUAGCCAUCAAUGGACAGGACUUGAGGCACGGUACACCUGAGAGUGCCGCCCAAAUCAUACAGGCCAGCGAGGUGCGUGUCAACUUUGUAGUCUUGAGGCAAGCAGAGACUCAAGACGAAGGAGGACCACAAGGCCGAGGGGCCAGGAGGGUGCCUGAGCCGCAGUACUUCAGGCGGCGCUCCACCUACAUGAAGGACCCUCCCGGUGGCUUUUCCAGUCAGGAGAAGACGGUGAGCCUGAAGAAGGACCCUCGUCUUUCUCUGGGAAUCACCAUUGCCGGCGGAAGAGACUGCCGAAGCCGCCUGCCCGUCUACAUCACCAGCGUGCAGCCUAUUGGAUGCCUGCAUCGAGACGGCACCAUCAAACGAGGGGAUGUCCUGCUGAACAUCAACGGCGUUGACCUGACGCAACUGACGUACAGCGAGGCCGUUUCCACGCUGAAGGCGCAGGCCGCUCAGCCGCAGGUGGCGCUACGUGUCAUCCAGACCAUUUCGGAAGAAUCGCAGGAGGACGCCGAGGCCGGCGGCGGCAACGACAGGUCUGACGGCUUAGAGGACGCACGGGAAGACGCUUACAACUGGACGCCGCUGUGGAUAAGAUGGCUGGGCUUACCGAGCCACAUGCACUGGUGUCGGGACAUCGUCCUGCAGAAGAGCAACAAUGAGAGCUGGGGCUUCAGCAUUGUCGGAGGCUACGAGGAGACUCACGGCCAGCAGCCUUUCUUCAUCAAGACCAUCGUACCCGGCACACCCGCUCACUUUGAUGGCCGCCUAAAGUGCGGCGAUGAGAUUGUGGCGGUGAACGGCGCCACGACGGUGGGCAUGAACAACUCGUCGCUCAUCCCAAUGCUCAAGCUGCAGAAGAAUAAAGUGACGCUGACUGUGGUGUGCUGGCCCGGGAGUCUGGUCUAGCCAACAGACUCACUAAUUGGGAAGCAUUCUGCGCACAAAGCAGCAGGUAACUCAGUGGCAGCUGACAAAUGGAUUAGAAAGUUAUAUUCAGACUUACGAGACAUUGUCUCCUCUGUCCGUGUUAACUUAUAUCGACUGUCUCUGGCUUUGCUGCGUAAAACCUUAUCUUUGAGAUAUCCCCAUUUAAAAAAAAAAAAAAAAAAAAGAAAUGAUGGGAGGUUGGAGGAGCAUGUAGGCACUUUCAGCAUAACUUCAAUACGUUUGUAACGUUUCACACAAUCAGGUAACUUCAUGACAAAAUGUCUUUCUUCAAAAGUUAGGAUGCCAUUAUGUAGGAUUCUUUGAAUAUGAAACAAAAACAAAAAUUAGAUCAGGAACCAACAGCCAAAGAGUGAGUUUUCUUCUUUUUUUUUUUCUCGGGUAUUUGGUAACUAUUAGUUUGACCAGGGUGAAAACGUGAUGGCAAUCUGUGACAAAGCCCAUCAAUUGAAUUAUUUGGAGCACAUUUUUUGAAUUGGAAAAAAACUCCAUGAAGGAUUCAUGAUGGCUGCUCGUGACCAAAUCCGAACGGCUCUUGACUGCAAAGACCAAAGUGUCCACUUUUACUGCACUUUUCUCAAAGGCCAUCACAGUGACUGCUUCUUUUGGAGGCGUCGGGGGAUGCUCAAGCCACUAUGGGGGUCUUGACUUUGAAAGUUUCUUACAAUGCAAGAAGACUCACUUCGUGCACCUUUGUAUCUGUGUGACAUCAUAAUUGUGUUCUCGCUUUGACACUCUUGUGUCCAUUCCCUUAUAUUUAUUCACAUUUAUGAGUGCAUCUCAAUAAAAUGGAAAAUGUGAAAUAGCUAUCGCUGUAUAUAGAUUCACUUAAUGUUGGGAUUUUAUUAUUUUUAAUUUUGAUUAUAUCUUUGAAAACAUUUGAUUCAGCAUAAUUUUAAAAGGAGGUAUUAAGAGAGGAAUUGGCCUUCUGAAAAUUCGGUUCCUUUGUGUUUAAUGAAUCUGUAUAAUGAGUGUCAUGUACUGAAUUCAGCUCCUAAAAUAAAUGGACUUUUCUACUAUGUUCUAAAUAAUUGAGAUGCACCUGAAUGUGGUCACUUGUUGUUAGGUGGCUCACUUGAAUGUAAAUUUGCGCUUCAAAAAAACCAAACGACAACCCGGCACCAAUUUUGGUAUAAUACAGAGUUAUCAGAUCUGAGUGGCUGUGAUUUUGAUGUCGCUUUGGAUACAAUAAAAAGAAAUACAGUGAGUGGUGGAAAAUGAUCAACUCAA